This is a non-coding RNA of Triticum aestivum (bread wheat), 135 nucleotides long. The record is from Rfam. NCBI's taxonomy places the organism in Eukaryota, Viridiplantae, Streptophyta, Magnoliopsida, Poales, Poaceae.
AUAGUACUCCCUCCGUCCAUAAAUACUUGUCAUCAAAAUGGAUAAAAGGAGAUGUAUGUACGCGUAUUUUAGUUCUAGAUACAUCAUUUUUUAUUCAUUUUGAUGAAAAGUAUUUUCGGUCGGAGGGAGUAGACA